GUGCUCACUUUGGCAGUAUAUAUAGACUAAAACUGAAAUGAUACAGAGAAGAUUAGCAUGGCCCACGUGCAAGGAUGGAUGAAAUGCAAAUUCAUGAAGCAUUCCAAUCCUUU
This 113-nucleotide small nuclear RNA is filed under the name Salvator merianae (Argentine black and white tegu). The record is from RNAcentral. Lineage: Eukaryota; Metazoa; Chordata; Lepidosauria; Squamata; Teiidae.